AGGACGAACGCUGGCGGCGUGCUUAACACAUGCAAGUCGAGCGGAAAGGCCCUUUCGGGGUACUCGAGCGGCGAACGGGUGAGUAACACGUGAGUAAUCUGCCCCUAGCUCUGGGAUAGCUCCGGGAAACCGGGGAUUAAUACCGGAUAAGACCACUUUAGACAUCUGCCGUGGUGGAAAGAAUUUCGGCUAGGAUGUGCUCGCGGCCUAUCAGCUUGUUGGUGAGGUAACGGCUCACCAAGGCGACGACGGGUA
Molecule: ribosomal RNA, 255 nt
Filed under: uncultured bacterium
Lineage: Bacteria
Description: partial small subunit ribosomal RNA
Rfam family: Bacterial small subunit ribosomal RNA
Source: RNAcentral